This 1326-nucleotide long non-coding RNA is filed under the name Calidris pugnax (ruff). RNAcentral describes it as "lncRNA (ENSCPUG00000015842.1)". Lineage: Eukaryota; Metazoa; Chordata; Aves; Charadriiformes; Scolopacidae. The record is from RNAcentral.
CCCAGUUUGCAGGGAUUCCAGGACUGGUACUGGGAGGGCGCUGGGCUCUUUUUUGGAGGCUCAUACCAGUUUAGGGAAGAUGCCAUUGCAGAUACUGGGAUGGUGCAGGAUUCCAGGACUUGUACUGGGAGGGUGCUGGGCUCAUCCCAGUUUGUAGGGAUUCCAGUUCUUGUACUGGGAAGGCACUGGGCUCAUCCCAGUUUGUAGGGAUGCCACUGCUUGUACUGGGAUGGGACUGGGCUCUUUUUUGGGGGCUCAUACCAUUUUCCAGUUCUUGUACUGGGAGGGCACUGGGCUCAUCCCAGUUAGUAGGGAUUCCAGUUCUUGUACUGGGAAGGCACUGGGCUCAUCCCAGUUUGUAGGGAUGCCACUGCUUGCACUGGGAUGGGACUGGGCUCUUUUUGGGGGGGCUCCUCCCACUUGAGGAGGCAUUUUGGGGUGACAACCCCCCCCGUGACCCCCCCCAGGCUCAGGUGUCAGCCCUGGAGCACCCAUCUCCCCCCAGCCCGGGGGGGUCAGCGGAGCUGCGGCGGGAGCUGGACCGGCUGCGCAUCGCCCAGCACCACCCCCACCCCCUGGAGGAGCAGAUCGCGCUGCUGAAGGGACAGGAGCUCCACCGUCACCCCACCAGCAUCUAGAGCAACCCCCCCCCUGCAGAGACUGGUACAAACUCAUCUCAGGGGUGAGGGGGGGCCGUCCCCACCCCGGUGCUCACAAACCACACGGAUUUUGCUCUCAUCAUUCCCUUUCUCAAGGAAAAAGCCGCACUUUACCGACCAGGAGAUGACACUCGGGUAUUUUUGAUACAGGUUGGGGCCCGAUGGGUGUUUUUUCCCCUUUUUUCUAUCGCAAUUUUUAAAAAAAAUUUGGAAAUAUCCUUUUUAUUUAGCCCCUGUCUCGGCACCAUCCAAACCACCCCAUUUGUUCCCCCCCCCCAAGCCCUCGUGAGCCCCGACCCUCGGCAGGUCCUCGCUUUUUCUCCUUUUUCUAACAAAAAAAACCCCCAACCUACUCUACUUUGGUGGGUUUGGGAUUAUUUUUUAUUAACAAAUAUCGCUAUUUUUGGAGUUUGAGGGGUUUUUUUACUGGUGCUACGGGGCAGCCUGAGGUCGGGUGGGGGGUCUGAGCCCGAAAACACGGGGGGGGUCGAGGUGGGGGCUUGGAGCGCGGCACAAUCCGGGCACUAUUAAAUGUGGAUAAACCCAAACUGGCAGCUCUUGGGAGUCUUUUUUCGGGGUGGGUGGGUGUGUGUGUGAUAAUUUGGGGAUGCCUUUGGGACACCAGGAUUGAUCCAAGUCCCUAAAUAAUAAUAAAAAAUAAUAAUAA